This 169-nucleotide small RNA is filed under the name unidentified. RNAcentral's name for it is "Candidatus Burkholderia Manganese sequence". It matches the Rfam family "Manganese Mn2+ riboswitch aptamer (yybP-ykoY)". From Rfam's summary of the family: This RNA was originally discovered in E. coli during a large scale screen and was named SraF. The family was later found to exist upstream of related families of protein genes in many bacteria, including the the yybP and ykoK genes in B. subtilis. The specific functions of these proteins are unknown, but this structured RNA element may be involved in their genetic regulation as a riboswitch. The record is from RNAcentral.
CGCCCCGUCUUUGGGGAGUAGCCUUCCUUCCGCAAUGGAAAGAGAACGCGUCAACAUCCUCGGCUUCGCUGCCGUGGCGCGUUCGACCGGUCCAGUUUGGCGAGACCAUCGAUGCACCAGCCGUUCCUUGGUCGGACGGGGCGUGGCGCAUCGUGGUUCGCUGACGUCC